Molecule: long non-coding RNA, 997 nt
Organism: Cyprinus carpio (common carp)
Lineage: Eukaryota; Metazoa; Chordata; Actinopteri; Cypriniformes; Cyprinidae
Exons: 3
Source: RefSeq, a predicted model, not a curated record
UUUCAGUGGACUUCUGGUGGCCUUGGAUGAUCAUAGCUGGAGCAGCAGUUGGAGGAGCAGUGCUACUUGCGCUCAUCAUUAUCGCAAUGAAAGUUUUUAAACGUCAAACAGUUGAUGAAGUAACCUAUGCAUCAGUUAUCCAUAGGUCACACAACUCCAAUGAGAGCAAUGAUCUUGUGCAUAAUAACCUCAUUAACUGCUCUACUGAGGACUAGGGUCGUGUCAGCUCAGAUACUGUCUUAUAUGCAACCGUCAAAGAGAGGACAUGAAAAGAACAACACAACAUCACAAUUAUUAAAAUUUCAGAUAAAAGUUGAACUGAAUCAGCCUGUUUUGUUCUACAGAUUUCUCUAUGCAUUACUGUUUAAUAUUGCAACACCUAGAUCUAAAAGGGUGAAUCAAACACUGGGGCUGCACAGGGAAAGGAGAAUUAAAGUUAUGCAACCUAUUGGCCUCAAAUUACACUUUUAUAUACAGAUUGUGGAAACAUAUGGAAAAACCUGACUGUAAUCAGAGAGUGAUCAGAGAGACUGAGAGUGCAUUCUCAUCAAUGCUAACAGACAGGUUGCAUGCAGUAUCAAGAUGAAGGUACAGAAUUUCUGUUUUAAAGUAUUGUUGGCUCAGCUGCAUUGAAUAGAGACUGUCUAGUAUGUAGUGUCUAAGAUGCAACCGCAUUACUUGAAUUAUCACCUACACCAUAAAUAGACAUGACCACAGAUGCAGUAGAAGCAAGAGUCAUAUCCUGUGCUUGUCUGUAUGUAUUAUGUUGACUCUUCUGUUCCGGUCCUGUUUCUACUCAUCAUUCCUAUUUUGUCUUUUUAGUUCAUUACCCUCUUUUGUAUAUAUAGCCCUCAAACUUUGGCAGGUCUUGGUUUGCGAGCAGUUAUGUUAGGGUUUUCAGUUGCACUCACUGUUUAUAGUGUUUUAGUUCUGUUCCUUGUUUUGUAGUGUUUUGUUUGUUGUGGUUAUCCUUAUUAAAAGUUCAUUUACAUUUGGA